This 1845-nucleotide long non-coding RNA is filed under the name Dermacentor andersoni. RNAcentral's name for it is "uncharacterized LOC126516528". The record is from RNAcentral. Lineage: Eukaryota; Metazoa; Arthropoda; Arachnida; Ixodida; Ixodidae.
UGGGUAUGGACCAGUCGACUCCCCAGGUUACAGUGCCAAGUUUGGCACGUACACAUUGCUGCAUAUAGACCAAAAAGAUAAUCUAUUCUGAACUUGUGCAGGUUUGUUAUAAGUGCUGCUUUUUGUCUUUUAGAAAAUACUGUGGGGAGAAAUGCGCCUCUUGUUUUAGUCAAAUGAAUCUCGUGGUAGCUGCCGCAUGGAGCUUGAAGGCUUAAAAUGUGCUCUUGUAUUUCUGAAGAGUCACGGCGUCACAGUUGCAUUGGUAAUAACACAGACAGGCCAUUACUUUUCGUUGAGUAAAAAAUUUUUACUGUAUGUAGGUAUAUCAGCUAAAACUUUUCUAUCAAGUGCUCAACGCUGAGCCUAAUGUUAACACUAUCUUGCAGUUGCCAUAAGCUGUAUGGAGUGUCCUACGCAAAAGGUUACAUGUGAAGAGACAUUUAGAGAGACUCUAAGGCUAUGACACACCUGUGUAAGCAACUCAGAAGUAUUUAAGUGCCAGACACUAAAUUCAUGCUGCCACAAUUAGUAUACACAGAUCUUGCUUUCAAGUCCUUUGGUGUGUGAAAUUUGUUUUUCAGUCAAAUGUAGUUGGAGGCAGUUGUAUGGCACUGGAGGGCCGCAAAUGAGCCAUAGCUUUCCUUGAAAGCAAGAACAUAGAAAUUGCCUCUGUUGUGACAGAGACGUGCCCAAAUAAAAUGCUUCUUUUAAAAAGGAGUAGCCAAGUAUCACACAUAAAUGCAACCUUUGGCAAGUGGUGAAACAUGCUUUCAGCUGGCCAAUGCCUUUGAUGCACAUACAGAUACUGAACUCCAUGUGACCAACAUUUUCUAAAAUAUAUUUCAGGUAUCUCUGAGAAACUUCUUACCACAGCAAAGCACUCUGGCUGUACAGAACUUGGCCCAUGAUGAAGUCAACAGAAAAUCAUCUGUACUGGUCAGCUGCUUCUAGUGUAGGCCACAAGGGGCUCGUUGUGCCAAAGUGGCUUUCUCUGCUAAGCCAUGUCAAGGAUAUUCAUGCUCAUGAAGACUCCAAGGCCUUGAAAACACCGAAGGACAUAGCCAGAGCAAGGCCCCUGCUUGUUGACAUGCCGCAGCUUUCAACAUCAUUUGAAACAUAAGGCAUGGAAGCAUUUCCCAGCCUGCUGCACCACUUUGCCCUGAAGUUUUGCCAAUAUUCUUAUGAAGGAAUGAAGGCCAGCAAUUGAAUGGAACCAACUUUCUGCUGAUAUAGCAUCUUUUGGUAAGUGUUCUCUACUCCUGUUUGUUGCCAAAUGUAUAAAGUUCAAAGUAAGAAGCAAUAAACCCAUACAUAUGCUACUCAGCGCAACGUUUGUGUCGUGCUUUUCUAUGUGCUUCUUCUAAUGGCUGUUCCUACAGAAUUUGAAGUAUCUGACAACAACCGGCCUAAGUUUCUACCCCACUGAAGUUUAUGCCUUUCAAUGUACUUAUGUCAGAUACAUAUUGCAAUGGCAUUGUGUCUGACUAAGUCCCUGCACCUUGAACUGUACUUUGUCCACCUCUUUGAAGGAAUGAAGAAAGGACCUGCUUCCAUUGCUACACACUUUAAAUACCACAAAUACAUUGCUCUGCUUGGCACGUCAUGCAGCCGUCGCAAAGCGCAUGUCAUGCCGGAGCCAAACACUGUAAGAUUGAGUUUGAUAAUUGAUUAGAACCCUCCGAUCAUUCGCUAAAGCAUGUGCCCUCGGUUUUUAUUUACACAUACAAAAAAUAUCGCAACGUACCAGUGUAUACAUACCAGCUCAAGUUUCCAAUUAUGUGGAAAGGUCAACACCUCAUCUUCUGUGGUAACUGAUGCCCUUACUUGAGAUUAUACAGUAUUUGC